Molecule: long non-coding RNA, 604 nt
Organism: Macrobrachium nipponense
Lineage: Eukaryota; Metazoa; Arthropoda; Malacostraca; Decapoda; Palaemonidae
Exons: 4
Source: RefSeq, a predicted model, not a curated record
AUAACGUGGGGCCACUGGUUGCGAAAUAGCAAACCUUUGUACGUGAGGUGAAAUAACGCGGGAAACACCACACCAAGAAAAGAAAAAAGAAAAUACUGAUAGGAACGCCGGAGCUCGGGGAUAACGCGUCUUCUGGAUAUCAGUGCCAGAGACAGUCCAUAGGGGACUUCGUUCAACCAAGAAGUCGAGUUUUUUGCUUCGUCUUUAUUAUAGUAUUUUGUUUCACUGAAAUUCUGAAAUAUCAACAAGUUCAUGCGUAAAGGACAGCAUCUGGCUGGAUCUUCAAUAUGAAAAGUGUUGUUGGAAUUAUCAGCAUCUCUACAAGUGCUAUCCUGACAGACAUGUAUUAUUGUCCUCCGUGUCAAGUGAAAAUUAGAUGAGAACAAAUCGGGAGACUGCAGUUGUAGUAAGAGUUUUUGGAACGAAAGAGCCUAAUUGGUUUCUGGGAUGAUAUUCCUUCUGAGGGUGAAGAACCUGAAAUUUGGCAACGGUGACUGUUUGCUUGCAACUUGGCCCAGGAUCUGCCUGUUUGAGAGGCAAUGGCAUAUUGGUAAUUGCAGAGGUUUUGGCUGCCGUUGAAGGAUGUCCCUCAAUCAGCUCGGUG